This 443-nucleotide ribosomal RNA is filed under the name uncultured bacterium. RNAcentral describes it as "SSU rRNA". It matches the Rfam family "Bacterial small subunit ribosomal RNA", at positions 26 to 518 of the family's 1533-position model. The record is from RNAcentral.
AGAGCGAACGCUGGCGGCAGGCUUAACACAUGCAAGUCGAGCGCCCCGCAAGGGGAGCGGCAGACGGGAGAGUAACACGUGGGAACGUACCUUUCGGUUCGGAACAACCCAGGGAAACUUGGGCUAAUACCGGAUACGUCCGUAAGGAGAAAGAUUUAUCGCCGAAAGAUCGGCCCGCGUCUGAUUAGCUAGUUGGUGAGGUAACGGCUCACCAAGGCGACGAUCAGUAGCUGGUCUGAGAGGAUGAUCAGCCUCACUGGGACUGAGACACGGCCCAGACUCCUACGGGAGGCAGCAGUGGGGAAUAUUGGACAAUGGGCGCAAGCCUGAUCCAGCCAUGCCGCGUGGGUGAUGAAGGCCCUAGGAUUGUAAAGCCCUUUCGGCGGGGAAGAUAAUGACGGUACCGCAGAAGAAGCCCCGGCUAACUUCGUGCCAGCAGCCGC